Molecule: ribosomal RNA, 429 nt
Filed under: Pseudomonadota bacterium
Lineage: Bacteria; Pseudomonadati; Pseudomonadota
Description: Proteobacteria bacterium partial 16S ribosomal RNA
Rfam family: Bacterial small subunit ribosomal RNA
Source: RNAcentral
UGGGGAAUAUUGGACAAUGGGCGAAAGCCUGAUCCAGCCAUGCCGCGUGUGUGAAGAAGGUCUUCGUAUUGUAAAGCACUUUAAGUUGGGAGGAAGGGCAGUAAGCGAAUACCUUGCUGUUUUGACGUUACCGACAGAAUAAGCACCGGCUAACUCUGUGCCAGCAGCCGCGGUAAUACAGAGGGUGCAAGCGUUAAUCGGAAUUACUGGGCGUAAAGCGCGCGUAGGUGGUUCGUUAAGUUGAAUGUGAAAGCCCCGGGCUCAACCUGAGGACUGCAUCCAAAACUGGCGAGCUAGAGUAGGGCAGAGGGUGGUGGAAUUUCCUGUGUAGCGGUGAAAUGCGUAGAUAUAGGAAGGAACACCAGUGGCGAAGGCGACCACCUGGGCUCAUACUGACACUGAGGUGCGAAAGCGUGGGGAGCAAACAGG